Panicum virgatum (switchgrass) is the source of this 2125-nucleotide long non-coding RNA. RefSeq lists it as uncharacterized. The transcript has 2 exons. NCBI's taxonomy places the organism in Eukaryota, Viridiplantae, Streptophyta, Magnoliopsida, Poales, Poaceae. The record is from RefSeq and is a predicted model, not a curated record.
CUGUCAAAAAACAUUCACAUUCUCUUUUGGUGCAAUUCUACACGCUACUGCUCAUGCAGGUUUCGGCCAAAAGAUCUACACACUACAUGCUUUUAUACACAGGUUUUCUGAAUGCUAGGGUUACAAGACUAUAUAGCCUAUACAGAGCAGAAAAAAAGGUAAUAAACAUAUUAAGAUUCAGAAAUGUCUACCUAUCUGAUUCUAUAGUUUCAGGUUUAUUUCUCUGUUGUCCUGCUGUUCUGGCGAAGUUUCUGCUCCACGCAAGUCUGUUUCAGUUCCUUGCUGCUCAGGAACAGGCAGUUAGUUUCAGUUCCUCGCUGCUCACGAACAGGUAGUUGUAAAGCAGAUCCAGAACUGCCAUCCUGAGCCUGAUGGUGCAUCUAUGUUCCUGUUUCACACAAGGCAGUUUCCAUCCUUGCUUCUCAGGAACAGGCAGCUCGAGGGAUCCUUCAGAACAGCCACCACGAGACUGAGUUGGUGUAGCUGAUGCUUCUGCUGCACACAAGUUUAUUUCUGCCCCUCCCUACUUGGGAGCAAUCAGUCCGUGCGAAACUGCUUCAGAACUGCCAUCCUGGAACUGAUUUGCUGCAUCAAUGCCCCUACCUCACACAAGUCUGUUUCCAUCCCUCUUCGCUCAGGAAUAGGAGGUUAAUGAGAUGCUUCAGAACUUUCGUUCAAAGCCUGAGAUGGUAUAUCUGAUGUUUCUGCUUCACACAAGUCUAUUUCCACCCCUUUCCGCUCAGAAACAGGAAGUCCAUGAGAAAAGGCACCAGAACUGCUGUCCCACGUAGUACAAUGAGAUUGAUCUGCCCUUUCAGGUGUUGAUUUUGAGUCACCCUGGACAGGCAAACUUGAUGCUUCAGCUUUGCACCCAUCUGUCUUCACCCCUCCCUGCUCAGGAGCAUGCAGUUUGUAGGUGAGCUCUCCAGAGCCUCCAUGAUACUCCUGCCCAGGAAGUUGAUCUGCACAUUCAGGUCUCAUUUUUCUGUUGUCCUGUUGUAGUGAAUCUGAUGAUUCUGCUUCACACCAGUCCCUCUUUGUCCCUCGCUGCUCAGGAGCUAGCCGUUUGCACAGUGCAGUUUCAGAAGCACCAUUUUGCACCCAACUGCGACUACGAGGCUCUUCCGUCCGAUGGUAAACAUACCGUUCACGCCAUCCUCCCCUACCUCCCCUCUCAAGACAGGAAGGUCUUCCUCUGCCUCGACUGCCAAUUUGACCAUGUGGUUCUUGUCGUUGAAUACUGCUGAAUUGCCUGUCAACUCCAUAUGACUGGAACCUUUGUUGGAAAGAACUGCUCUGGUACGGAUAAGUUACCACGUUCUGGGACUCUGGAUAAACAGUCCUAUUCUGAUACUCCCUGUUGCAGUAGCUUCUUGGAUACUGCCAUGCAUCAAGAACACUAUUUUGGCCAUGUGAUUCUUCCAUAUGGGCUGAUCUAGGAGUAUUCCUUCCAUUACCUGUUUGAGAACUACUGUGCAGUGGCUCAUAAUACAACCUGCCGUGGGGUUGGGGCCCAAGAUUCUGUUUGGACCAUCCUCGAUACCCUUCCAAAGAACUAUGCUGGUCACUUGAAGCUCUGACUGGAAGUGGAAGCUCAUUCCAUCUUCUUGGUGGGUCGUUCCUGACAGCCACCAUAUCGGGCGUUGAUGACCAAGACAGCACUCCAUUUCCAAGAUUUGCGUGGUUAUUCCUCUGACAAAGUGCACAAAGAAUAAUUGUAAAGCAUUUGAGUCAACACUCGACAGAGCUUUGCAAGCAAUAUGGUUUUACGCUGCAAAUCUUAUGAGGAUGUUUCAGGAAGCUGUGUCAGGGCAGAGCGGCACUCUAACAAGAUUAGCAGAAAGGAUCUGACUGUGCAAGUUGGUGACCCUCAUAAUGCCUUUACACUUGAACAACUACUCCUAUCUGUAUCCUCAAGUGAGUAGACUCAAAGAGGAGCAGGAAAUUAUCACAAACUGUUAGUAUAGGGAUGUACUAAGUAGUUGUAGAGUUCACUCUAUACGAUUUUGUUAAAGAGGACAGGAAAUUAUCAACAAUUAUCAAGGUUGUAAACACAUGCCUAACAAACAGGGUAUAUGGAGCUCUUUGUCUCACAAAAAAAAAUGAGAGGAUUUAGAUUGCGGAA